UGGACAGAUUAUUGUAUUCGACUGUAUUCACGGCGUAAAAUAGGGGAAUUACACUAUUUUUAAAACGAAAAGUGAAUCAAUUAACAUAUAGGCUACU
RNAcentral lists this microRNA precursor (97 nucleotides) under Nicotiana attenuata. RNAcentral's name for it is "MIR6152 microRNA precursor family". It matches the Rfam family "MIR6152 microRNA precursor family". The record is from Rfam by way of RNAcentral. Lineage: Eukaryota; Viridiplantae; Streptophyta; Magnoliopsida; Solanales; Solanaceae.